RNAcentral lists this long non-coding RNA (463 nucleotides) under Musa acuminata (dwarf banana). RNAcentral's name for it is "long non-coding RNA (MACU_LNC007357)". Lineage: Eukaryota; Viridiplantae; Streptophyta; Magnoliopsida; Zingiberales; Musaceae. The record is from RNAcentral.
GGAAGUGGGAGAGGAGCGAGAGGUGGCAGCAGCUAGGGCUGCAGCACCUCGGUUUCUUGCAGGCGGAAACAGAGGAGACGAGGUGUGGGGCGAUGGGGACGAGAAGAAGAAGAAGAGGAAAAAGAAGAAGAGAAAAAGAAAAAAAAGAUGGCUGCGGCAUGGGCUGUAGUGAGAAGGUGUGGGGUGUCGGGUAGGAGAAGGGAAGAAGAGGAGAAGAAGAAGGAGAAGAAGAAGAAGAAGAGGAAGGGAAGAAGUAGAAGCGGGUGAAGAGGCGACACCUCUGUUUCCUGCAGGAGGAAACAGAGGAGAGGAGGUGAUGUUCGUCGGGGAGAAGAAGGGGAGGAAGGAGAAGAAGAGAAGAAGAAGAAGAAAGGAAGGAGAAGGAAGAUGAGAAGGGAAAGAAGUAGCUGCUGCUGCGGCUGUGGCAGCUGCAGCUGUGGCAGGGAAAGAGGAAGAGGAAGGA